AAAACUUUCAACAACGGAUCUCUUGGUUCCGGCAUCGAUGAAGAACGCAGCGAAAUGCGAUAAAUAAUGUGAAUUGCAGAACUCAGUGAAUCAUCGAAUCUUUGAACGCACAUUGCGCCC
This 120-nucleotide ribosomal RNA is filed under the name Protoblastenia calva. RNAcentral describes it as "5.8S ribosomal RNA". It matches the Rfam family "5.8S ribosomal RNA", at positions 1 to 118 of the family's 154-position model. Rfam says of the family: 5.8S ribosomal RNA (5.8S rRNA) is a component of the large subunit of the eukaryotic ribosome. It is transcribed by RNA polymerase I as part of the 45S precursor that also contains 18S and 28S rRNA. Lineage: Eukaryota; Fungi; Ascomycota; Lecanoromycetes; Lecanorales; Psoraceae. The record is from RNAcentral.